GAUGAACGCUGGCGGCGUACCUAAUACAUGCAAGUCGAGCGAACAGACGAGGAGCUUGCUCCUUUGACGUUAGCGGCGGACGGGUGAGUAACACGUGGGUAACCUACCUAUAAGACUGGGAUAACUUCGGAAAACCGGAGCUAAUACCGGAUAAUAUUUCGAACCGCAUGGUUCGAUAGUGAAAGAUGGCUUUGCUAUCACUUAUAGAUGGACCUGCGCCGUAUUAGCUAGUUGGUAAGGUAACGGCUUACCAAGGCAACGAUACGUAGCCGACCUGAGAGGGUGAUAGCCCACACUGGAGCUGGGACACGGUCCAGACUCCUACGGGAGGCAGCAGUAGGGAAUCUGCCGCAAUGGGCGAAAGCCUGACGGAGCAACGCCGCGUGAGUGAUGAAGGUCUUCGGAUCGUAAAACUCUGUUAUUAGGGAAGAACAAACGUGUAAGUAACUGUGCACGUCUUGACGGUACCUAAUCAGAAAGCCACGGCUAACUACGUG
RNAcentral lists this ribosomal RNA (497 nucleotides) under uncultured bacterium. RNAcentral describes it as "partial 16S ribosomal RNA". It matches the Rfam family "Bacterial small subunit ribosomal RNA", at positions 28 to 507 of the family's 1533-position model. The record is from RNAcentral.